This 31-nucleotide small nuclear RNA is filed under the name Cervus elaphus hippelaphus. Lineage: Eukaryota; Metazoa; Chordata; Mammalia; Artiodactyla; Cervidae. The record is from RNAcentral.
GUGCUCACUUUGGCAGCACAUAUACUAAAAU